Molecule: ribosomal RNA, 404 nt
Filed under: uncultured soil bacterium
Lineage: Bacteria
Description: bacterial SSU rRNA
Rfam family: Bacterial small subunit ribosomal RNA
Source: RNAcentral
CAGCCCUUGACAUGGGACGUAUGGGAGGCGGAGAUGCCUCUCUUCAGUUCGGCUGGCGUCCACACAGGUGCUGCAUGGCUGUCGUCAGCUCGUGUCGUGAGAUGUUGGGUUAAGUCCCGCAACGAGCGCAACCCUCAUCUUCAGUUGCCAUCAGGUUAAGCUGGGCACUCUGGAGAAACUGCCGGUGACAAGCCGGAGGAAGGCGGGGAUGACGUCAAGUCCUCAUGGCCCUUACGGGCUGGGCUACACACGUGCUACAAUGGCGGUGACAGCGGGCGGCGAANGUGCGAGCCUGAGCCAAUCCCGAAAAGCCGUCUCAGUUCGGAUUGCACUCUGCAACUCGAGUGCAUGAAGUUGGAAUCGCUAGUAAUCGCGGAUCAACAUGCCGCGGUGAAUACGUUCCC